UUACUGCAAGCAAUUGAUGAAAAUGAAAUAUUUAAUGGGGGUUUGUACCUGUGGACUUGGCAACACUGGUGCAUCUCAAGAGCAAAACUGUGACGACAUCAGGAUGGAUGGUCAUGAGGCCAAUCACCUCCCCAGCUUCGAUGGUGCUUCUCUUUUGGGGUAGGUGUUGGAUCUGGUCUGGGGGGUGUGUGAGUUGGUGGCAGGUGAGCUUUGGGAAGCAGUGGCUGCUCCUGGCACCAGAGUUUCCAGCUCUUCCUCCUGAAGACCCAGUAGUGCUGCCUGGGGCAAAGCUGAUGUUUCUCACUUGUCAGUAGCACGUGACUGCAAUGUUCUCCAGAGAUCCAGCUGUGUCCAUAGGCAACUGUUCAUCUCAUCUAAGGUCUUUCCUCACUUGACUUGGCUACAGCACCCCUACAAGUAGCAGAACCUCCUUGCCUGGUGGAAGUGGGCAGGAGUGUUGUCCCACAGGUGUUGUCACAUCUCAGAGGAAUUUCCCACCGGGAUUUCUGCGGCACUUUCAACGGCAAGGGAAGGAACUGAGUCUGAAUUUUGCAUGACAUUGUUGUUGCAAGGUGUCCAUAGAUGCCCAGAAGCCAACACAGCCUCCAAAGGAAGCUGGGAACAUUCUGCCAUCCCGAAGAAGACAUGUCUGGGGCUGACCCAGGACUGUAAUCCAGCCCUGCAGUUUAUGUGCAGAGGGCCAUCCCUUUCACACACGAAGCACAGUGAGCCCAAACCGGAUCCCCUUUCUCCAUGGAGAUCAGCCUGCUGGGAUGACGAGAGAAGCAGAGUGAGUCCCCAGCCCUCUCUAGAGCUGAACUGCAAAACCACAGGCUUCAGCAAAGCCCUUUGAGCCAGCCCACCUCCCAGCAGAGUGACUGUCCCUUUCUCUAGAAUCAGGGCUGGAAAUAAUGACAGGAUAUUCUCCUCUGCAGACCUGCCUGACAGAGAGUGGGGAGGGAUCCAGGGUGAAGCCACAGAACUGAUCCUGAGGAAGAAACACAGCUUGCCUCCCGUCCUCCACCCCUGCAGACCCAAGGCUGUCCGUGGAUGUCCCUUUGGGUCAGAAUCCUGGGCAAGGCAGCAUCCCUGAGUGCUCAGCAGUCUCUUUGAGGGAGGUUUUGCUUAGGUUGGCUGCUGCUGAUCCCAGCCUGUCUUCAGCACACAGAUGCUUUUAACCUCCUGAGGAGGGGUCUGAGUGGCCAGCAACUGCUGAGGACACUGCCACAAUUCAGCCAUGUCCCUGCUCAGGGCACAGACUGUAAACACAGUAGAGAAUCCAGGCCAUAUCCCAGCCCAGCUUGGCUGCCUGGCUUGAGGUCCCCAUCACCCAGAAUUUGGAGCUUACCUCUUUUUCCAUUACCUCUAAGCAGAAAUGGUGAAUGUUUCGGUAAUGUUUCCUAAAAAUAAAAAUGUCAACAGA
This is a long non-coding RNA of Corapipo altera (White-ruffed manakin), 1423 nucleotides long. RefSeq lists it as uncharacterized. NCBI's taxonomy places the organism in Eukaryota, Metazoa, Chordata, Aves, Passeriformes, Pipridae. The transcript has 4 exons. The record is from RefSeq and is a predicted model, not a curated record.